GAUGAAGAACGCAGCGAAAUGCGAUACUUGGUGUGAAUUGCAGAAUCCCGUGAACCAUCGAGUCUUUGAACGCAAGUUGCGCCUCAAGCCAUUAGGUUGAGGGCACGUCUGCCUGGGCGUCACAUAUCGUUGCCUGAUGCCAGUUUCCUCGUGAUGGGUGACUGUGCAGGGCGAAUGAUGGCUUCCCGUGAGCAUUGUUGCCUCAUGGUUGGUUGAAAAUUGAGUCCUUGGUAGGGAGCGCCGUGAUAGAUGGUGGUUGAGUGACGAACGAGACCCAAUCAUGUGAGACCCCUACCGAAUUUGGCCUUCAUAACCCACAUGCGUCUUUGGAACGCUCAUGACGAGACCUCAGGUCAGGCGGGGCUACCCGCUGAGUUUAAGCAUAUCAAUAAGCGGAGGA
This 400-nucleotide unclassified non-coding RNA is filed under the name soil metagenome. RNAcentral describes it as "partial contains 5.8S ribosomal RNA, internal transcribed spacer 2, and large subunit ribosomal RNA". The stretch from base 1 to 122 matches the Rfam family "5.8S ribosomal RNA", at positions 35 to 154 of the family's 154-position model. The record is from RNAcentral.